AAUAUGCUUCCUCCGUUUGGGAAUACUUGUCAUCAAAAUGAAUAAAAGGAGAUGUAUCUAGACGUAUUUUAGUUCUAGAUAUGUUCCUUUUUAUCUAUUUCGAUGACAAAUAUUUUUGGACGGAGAGAGUACUUA
This is a non-coding RNA of Triticum aestivum (bread wheat), 135 nucleotides long. NCBI's taxonomy places the organism in Eukaryota, Viridiplantae, Streptophyta, Magnoliopsida, Poales, Poaceae. The record is from Rfam.